AAUUUUGUUGGUGUGGAGAAUAGUAGUGGAGGAGGGAGUGGUAAAGCGAUUUCUGAAGUAGGGUGGGACAUACUUGGGGAAAAUCAAGAGCAUGUUGGUCCAUAUGCAUUCUCUGAAUUACAAGGAUUUUGGCCUUGUUCUGAAAAUCCGUAUCUGUGAGAUGAACUGUAUCGUGUGCAUUCUCCAGUGCUCACUGGAAGGAACUUUGAAGGAAUUCCCAUGCUUUUGUUUUGGCAUCAUUAUUGAUGCCAAAAUGUAGUAUCUUUUGUAAAAGAGAAUGCAGUAAAUUUACUGGCUUUGUGUUUGUUCUUGAAUUUUCAGUUACACUAGUAACUAUCAAGGUUUCAGGACAAUUGUUACAUCUGUAUCAUGUUCAUAAUGGUCUUACGAGCUAUUGAACCAUCUACUUGGUUGUGUUUACUUCGCGUGAGCCGAGCAUUUCAAAUAUGGAUACAUCUUCGAAAGUACGCUAUUGUGGGCUGAAGGAAGAACUGAAUAUCUAUACAAAGAUCUGAGCCUGCUGUUGCAGCGACUCCUGAAAAAUGAUGAUGACUUCGCCAAAUGGCAAGAGGAGGUUAGAAAAGCUGAACUCGAAGCUGAGGCUUUGAAGCAUGGCUCAAAAUUAAAUGAUGUUGGUGGGUCAGAUCAGUUGAAAGACUUGGAGGUUAUAAUAUGGACACAGAAACCACUUGUAUUCGAGAACCAUCCUCAGGGAGUCGUUCUGCUCACAAGUGUAUAGAGCUAAUGAACGGAAGAUGGUUUGGUGGUAGGAAAGUACAUGCCAGCAGCAUAGACGAUGGUUCCGUUAAUCAUGCUGCGGUCCGUGAUCUUGAGCAUGACGAAGCUCGGUUAGCUCAGUACGCUGCCGAGCUUGAAGCUGAUGAUUGACAGAGAUAGAAAUACCUUUUGGAGGAGCUAAUAUGGAAGAAACCUGCUUUUGUCCAAAUUGUAAAAUCUCAGUAACUGAGGCUUAUGAGUUGCACAGAAUGCUUUACCUAAUACUGCAGAUAUAUGGGAGGCUUUUGCAUUGGGUUAACGGCUUGCGUAAAAUCCCGGUUCAGAUUUUCUGAGUAUUUUGGUGGGAAGGCUAGAUGUAAAUGAACGCAUUUAAACUGGUAUUACAAAAUGUUCAGGGCACCAUGAAACUUUUUACAUAUAAGACUCUUGUUCAGACCAGGUCAUACCCAUAGACUUAUUACUGCAUGUUUUCAUUUGUUUGAAAGCCUUGGCUAACUUACUCUUUUCUGUAAGAUCUACAAAUUUGGUUAAACAUGGAUGUGAUGCAUGAUGAAAAGAAGAACUUUGUCUAUUUGGAUCUACCAUGGACUAUCAGGAUUUGGCAGGUUUUGCGAAUAAGACAGAUUUCUGAAGUAUAUCUUGAAGCGAACAAAGCCAAAUUGGAGAUGUUGCCAAGGGACGAGGGCCUUAUUUUACCAUGGCUGUAUAUUUUGUUUAUUUUUUGUGUCAGGAACCUUUGUUGUUGUUGAUUUUAACUUGAGUACUGCUUUCAUUUUUGAAUGAAUUCUGUUGGUGUUGUCAGUUGUGCCAUACAUUCAAGUUUCACAUGUCCCAAAAAUUUGUGGUCGUCCAUUUCCUCUCUGAAACAGAGCCAGAGUUUAAAAAUAAUUUUAGUCGGUACAAAAUAUUCUUAAAAAACAAGUGUUUGGUUUUGA
Long non-coding RNA from Papaver somniferum (opium poppy), 1673 nucleotides. RefSeq lists it as uncharacterized. The record is from RefSeq and is a predicted model, not a curated record. The transcript is spliced from 6 exons. Lineage: Eukaryota; Viridiplantae; Streptophyta; Magnoliopsida; Ranunculales; Papaveraceae.